CUACGGGUGGCUGCAGUGGGGAAUAUUGGGCAAUGGGCGCAAGCCUGACCCAGCAACGCCGCGUGAGGGAAGAAGGUUUUCGGAUUGUAAACUCCUGUUAAGAGGGAAGAAAGACUUCUGGUUAAUACCCGGAAGGGAUGACGGUACCUCUAGAGAAAGCUCCGGCUAACUUCGUGCCAGCAGCCGCGGUAAUACGAGGGGAGCAAGCGUUAUUCGGAAUAACUGGGCGUAAAGCGUGCGUAGGCGGUCUACUAAGUCAGUUGUUAAAGACCUCGGCUUAACUGAGGGAGUGCGAUUGAUACUGGUGGACUGGAGGGCAGAAGAGAGAAGUGGAAUUCUUGGAGUAGCGGUAAAAUGCGUAGAUCUCAAGAGGAACACCGAUUGCGAAGGCAGCUUCUUGGUCUGUACCUGACGCUGAGGUACGAAAGCGUGGGGAGCAAACAGGAUUAGAUACCCCUGUAGUC
This 464-nucleotide ribosomal RNA is filed under the name uncultured bacterium. RNAcentral describes it as "partial 16S ribosomal RNA". It matches the Rfam family "Bacterial small subunit ribosomal RNA", at positions 339 to 795 of the family's 1533-position model. The record is from RNAcentral.